RNAcentral lists this ribosomal RNA (207 nucleotides) under uncultured bacterium. Its description in RNAcentral is "partial 16S ribosomal RNA". It matches the Rfam family "Bacterial small subunit ribosomal RNA", at positions 568 to 773 of the family's 1533-position model. The record is from RNAcentral.
AGCGCAGGCGGUUUUCUUAAGUCUGAUGUGAAAGCCUUCGGCUUAACCGGAGAAGAGCAUCGGAAACUGGGAGACUUGAGUGCAGAAAAGGGCAGUGGAACUCCAUGUGUAGCGGUGAAAUGCGUAGAUAUAUGGAAGAACACCAGUGGCGAAGGCGGCUGUCUGGUCUGUAACUGACGCUGAGGCCCGAAAGCAUGGGUAGCAACA